GCUGCGCCGCGCCGGGCGAGGUGGAAGGCGGGGAGGAUCGCGGCUGCGGGUUAGGCUUUGAAAGUCAGCCUCGCAGGCAUUGCAGCAGAGCCCCGAACCGCGGAGGGGAGCGGCGUAGAGCUCGGCUCGCUGUAUGAAGCAUGGAAUUGCUGAAAGAGAAAGUUAGUGCAUCCUUGGACUCCUGAAGGAAGAGCCUUCCUUAUGGGACCACUUUCAAGCAAGCCUGCCUCCUCCAGCCUCCCUGCUGACAAAUGGUGGUGGAUUAUAGAUGAGGACACGCUGACCCGUUCGACCUUGCUGAGACAGCGGGGAGGGGCCUCCUGCUACUUGAGGGAAGCUUUGGGUCAUUUAAAGGACAAGGUCAUGAGCCAGGUGGGGAAAUGACAUGAUAUCACAUGACAAUAGCCCGAUGACACGGUCAGUAUGUCAAGGACGAACUCAUCAGUAUUGAUUAUGCUGCUUUUUCAUAGCGUUUCUGUGAAGCCAUUGAUAUUUCAAAACUAUUUUGCUAAUUUAUUCUAGGUGAAGUGCCAAACGCUAUUUUCAGGGUUAUUUUUAGGAGUAUUUGCACAGUAUUUUCUCCUAAGCACUGAUCACAUACAAAAGCAGUGUUACUAAAACCCUGUCAAUAAUAAUUCAGAGGGUUCAGUUUGAUGGUUUUUGUAAAAUGUGCAUCUGCAGGGACUGUAAGGAAAAUACCAAGAAGGAAGAAAAUCUCUGCUUUUAAAUUUCAGCAUUGCACUUCUAAGUAGGAAUUAAAAGGCACGUGUAAUGAUCUUUGUGAUAACAUGCGUGUUUGCUUGUGUGUGGCUGACUGGAAUGUGGGGAAAGUCUUGACAUAAAAAGAACCAAAGAGAAAAGUGAAAUAUAAAUUGGGGUGUUUAAAGCAAAACUCUUCCAUUGGCUCAGGAGUGCUACAGUGAAGAUAAUGCUUAGCCUAUUUUAAGCACUAAUACAGCAUCCAGCUAUGCCAGCCAAUAAAAACCUGCUAAGUGGGUUUUAGAAAAUAUGUCGGGAAUACAAGUGACAGUAUUUUGAGAGCAUCUUCACGUUGCAUUUCGAUGCUAAUAAACUUCAAGGUAAAUGAACAGCUUGUUUGACAUUUGCGUGUUAGACAAUAAUAAAAUGCUUUCUUCAGGACUAAGUAGACUGCUGGGUUGGUUAUGUUAAGAGGUAAAGAUAAAUACAGUCGAAAAGAAAAGUCCCUUGAAGUUGUUACCCAUUUUUGAACUUGCAUGGUAUCAUUCUAUUUUAGCUCCUGCCCAGCAGUCUGUGUUGCACACGUGCCUGUGCAGCACACACACACACACACACACACACACAUGCACCAGCACAUAGGCACGUACGGAUACACGCAGCAGGAGCAGAGUUUCAGAAACAGUCUGCUAAGUACAGAGGGAAGUGUUCACUUCAGCACACGGUUCGCCUUUCUGUGAAAUGUGAUUUGGUGUUGGAUGCUGUUGUGUCUGAAUCUCGCCAGUUCACCAGGAUGUAAUUUUACUCCCCUGAGGUAAAAAGCCGUCAGUGGUAAAGUGUGAUAAAUUAGUUCACACAAAUAGAUGCGCGUGCGUGUGUGUGUGUUUAAUUCUGACCUUGCUGUGCAUGUGUUUAGCUGCUCUCGGUGCCCGAGUCAAGCCUGGUGGAGGUUUAAUCCCGUGCCCUUGUACACGUAUACUUGAUUAGUAGUUGUGGUUAUCUCGGCAGAAGACAUUCCGCCCUCCUCCUUGUAUUGGUCGGGACCCGGGCAUUGGGGAGUCAAGUCGAAGGAGAGAGAAAAGAGAUUUUGCAUUAGUAUUCUAUGAAAGCCUUACUGUCUGCAGAACAAAUUGAUUGCUACAGCGUACCUGUGCUUGGCACCACUGCUGUGAAAGAAAGGUAUGGUUGUAAUCUGUUUUAUUGUAUUACAUAUUGUGACACUCCAGGAAUGCUUAACGUUCAGCUCUUCUGUGGCACGUGCUGGAAGUCUAAGUGAAGAAAAAUAUGUGGAUGAAUGAAAAGUAUGUGAGCCUGUUGUAUCUGCAGCUUUGUUUACUACAAAGAACUCAGUAGCCCCUGCUAACGAGGCAGAUUUAUUGUAUAUGCCAAUGGCAACGUAAGAAGAUUGGCAGUGGAGUUCUGUUUUAUUUUCAGUUACAGCUGUAUCAGUAGUGGCUACAUGACUGUACAGAUAAAAUUCCAGUUAAUGCUUUAAUUGGG
Molecule: long non-coding RNA, 2196 nt
Filed under: Gallus gallus (chicken)
Lineage: Eukaryota; Metazoa; Chordata; Aves; Galliformes; Phasianidae
Source: RNAcentral